This is a non-coding RNA of Jatropha curcas, 1739 nucleotides long. NCBI's taxonomy places the organism in Eukaryota, Viridiplantae, Streptophyta, Magnoliopsida, Malpighiales, Euphorbiaceae. The record is from RefSeq and is a predicted model, not a curated record.
CAUAAGGAAACAACUCGGUAUUUAUACUCUCUCACUCCUUUUGAAAUACUGCUUGAAGAUAAUGGAGCCUUUGGAUCUUUGCUUCUUCAUGCUUCAAUUUUCAGCGAAAUGUUUGAUAUAUCCUUGGAUUUGCUCCAGCGUUGCCCAAGCUUCGCCACAAGACGAACACUUUAUGGAAGCACCCCACUUGUCGAAUUGGCUUGUUUCAACGAUUUAUUUCCUAGCAGCAACCGUUAUGUCUUCUGGAAACAAUGGAUCUAUUCCUGUAUUCAUGUCCAACUACCUGCUUUUCCUGGUGAUGUUCGAAUUGCCAUUCUAGAGAAUGAUCAUGUCAAACAAGGGAAGGGUGAAAUGCGGAGUUUGAGUUCAAAGGUCCUAGACUUUUUUGGACUGAAGCAAAUUUACGAUAGGAAAUUAAGGCAUACCUAUGCUCUUAAAAUUCUAGAGCUGAUGGCCAAGCACGUAUCUUCUAUUGAUGACACUAAACUAAAACAAAAAAGAAUAUAUGAUGCAUUCUUUAAAGCUAUCAAAUAUGGAGUUGUUGAAGUUGUUAUUGAGAUGAUCAAAGCCAAUUCUAUUCUUUUGACUGUCGCCAACAAAAAUUCAAGAGACAUGCUUAUGAAUGCAAUCCAAUAUCGACAAGAAAAAGUUUUUAGCCUUAUAUAUGGGCUUGGUUCCAGGAAGCAACUUCUGAUUUCUGGAUCCGAUGAAUUCGAAAACACCAUUUUACACAUGGCUGCCAAGUUAGCACCUCCUAAUAGACUUGCUGACAUCUCAGGUGCAGCAUUGCAGAUGCAAAGAGAGCUACAAUGGUAUAAGGAAGUAGAAAGCAUUUCGAUUCCUUCAAAUAAAGAAUACAUCAACAGUGACAAUGAACAAGCUAGUGAGAUAUUUUCUAAAAGCCAUAAAGAGCUAAUAAAAGAUGGAGAAGAAACCAAGCUAUUAUGAACGUCCUGUACAGUAGUGGGUGCACUUAUUAUUACUAUAAUGUUCACGGCAGCAUUUACAGUUCCUGGUGGUAACGUUCAAGAAACUGGUUUUCCUAUGUUUGCACAUGAAAAAUCAUUUAUGAUAUUUAUAAUAUCCGAUGCCAUUUCUCUCUUUGCCUCCUCAACAUCAGUGUUAAUGUUCUUAGGGGUCCUUACAUCACGCUAUUCAGAAGAUGAUUUUCUCAAAUCUUUGCCUACAAAGUUGAUUAUUGGUCUUUCUACUCUCUUCAUUUCUAUUGCAGCCAUGAUGGUAGCCUUUUGUGCUACUCUUAUGAUAAUGCUAGAAGGAGAAUUGAGACUUGUCCUUCCAAUCAUUCUUUUGGCUAGCAUACCUGUCACCCUUUUUAUAUUAUUGCAAUUUCCUCUUCUUGUUGAGAUUUUUGUAUCUACUUAUGGACCAGGCAUCUUUGAUAGAAAAAUGAAGCCAUGGUAUUGAACUAUGCAUGUUCAGGAAGCUAUAUUGGCCUUUCUAUUGAAUUUUAUGUUGCAAAGGCGUUGAGUUGAUGUAAUAAGCCAAUGUGAUGCUUUUAGCUAGCAUACCUAUCACCCUUUUUAUAUUAUUGCAAGUUCCCCUUCUUGUUGAGAUUUUUGUAUCUACUUGUGGACCAGGCAUCUUUGAUAGAAAAAUGAAGCCUUAGUAUUGAACUAUGCUUGUUCAGGAAGCAGAAUUGGCCUUUUCUAUUGAAUUUUAUAUUGCAAACGCAUUAAGUUGAUGUAAUAAGCCAAUGAGAGGUGUUUUUCUUUGGGUAA